Molecule: transfer RNA, 73 nt
Filed under: Tuwongella immobilis
Lineage: Bacteria; Pseudomonadati; Planctomycetota; Planctomycetia; Gemmatales; Gemmataceae
Description: Planctomycetes bacterium MBLW1 tRNA
Rfam family: tRNA
About the family: Transfer RNA (tRNA) molecules are approximately 80 nucleotides in length. Their secondary structure includes four short double-helical elements and three loops (D, anti-codon, and T loops).
Source: Rfam by way of RNAcentral
GACCCGUUCGUCUAAAUGGAUCGGACACUCGCCUUUCACGUGAGCAAUCGGGGUUCGAUUCCCCGACGGGUCA